UGACAGUGGAAGGCUCUCCUGAGUGCCUCCCUGGCCUCAUUAGCACCUCACUCACUGCUGGGGCCCAGAGUACUAAGAUGGAAAAGCACCGCACAGAGUUCUGGGAUUCUCAGCUGGCCUCACUGCUGAGCACUUCAACAAACACUUUAAUUAUAGGAGUCCAACCUGAGUUCUAAAGGAGAUCAGUCUUGGGUGUUCAUUGGAAGGACUGAUGCUAAA
RNAcentral lists this long non-coding RNA (219 nucleotides) under Capra hircus (goat). Its description in RNAcentral is "lncRNA (ENSCHIG00010021246.1)". The record is from RNAcentral. Lineage: Eukaryota; Metazoa; Chordata; Mammalia; Artiodactyla; Bovidae.